AUACGGAGGGUGCAAGCGUUAAUCGGAAUUACUGGGCGUAAAGCGCGCGUAGGCGGUUUAGUAAGUCGGAUGUGAAAGCCCUGGGCUCAACCUGGGAAUUGCAUUCGAUACUGCUGGACUAGAGUAUGGUAGAGGGAAGUGGAAUUUCCGGUGUAGCGGUGGAAUGCGUAGAUAUCGGAAGGAACACCAGUGGCGAAGGCGACUUCCUGGGCCAAUACUGACGCUGAGGUGCGAAAGCGUGGGGAGCAAACAGGAUUAGAUACCCCGGUAGUCC
Molecule: ribosomal RNA, 274 nt
Filed under: uncultured bacterium
Lineage: Bacteria
Description: partial 16S ribosomal RNA
Rfam family: Bacterial small subunit ribosomal RNA
Source: RNAcentral